This 1434-nucleotide ribosomal RNA is filed under the name metagenome. RNAcentral's name for it is "bacterial SSU rRNA". It matches the Rfam family "Archaeal small subunit ribosomal RNA". The record is from RNAcentral.
ACUGCUAUUUGGGUGAGGAUAAGCCAUGCGAGUUGGAUGGGAUACCUAAAGUUCCCAUAGCAAACUGCUUAGUAACACAUGAUCAACUUGCCCUAUGGAGAAAACUAACCUCGGGAAACUGAGGAUAAUGUUUCAUAGUUGAAUAGGCUUGGAAAAGUUUUUCAAUGAAAGGAAUAAGAUAAAUGGUUCUUAUUUGCCAUAGGAUAGGAUCGUGGUCGAUUAUGGUAGUUGGUGAGAUAACGGCUCACCAAGCCGAUAAUCGAUAGGGGCCGUGAGAGCGGGACCCCCAAGAUGGGUACUGAGACAGCGACCCAGGCCUUACGAGGCGCAGCAGGCGCGAGACCUCCGCAAUACACGAAAGUGUGACGGGGUUACCCAAAGUGUUCUCUUAAGAACUGUGGUAGGUGAGUAAUGUCCCCUGCUAGAAAGGAGAGGGCAAGGCUGGUGCCAGCCGCCGCGGUAAAACCAGCUCUUCAAGUGGUCGGGAUAAUUAUUGGGCUUAAAGUGUCCGUAGCCGGUUUAGUAAGUUCCUGGUAAAAUCGGGUAGCUUAACUAUCUGCAUGCUAGGAAUACUGCAAUACUAGAGGGCGGGAGAGGUCUGAGGUACUACAGGGGUAGGGGUGAAAUCUUAUAAUCCUUGUAGGACCACCAGUGGCGAAGGCGUCAGACUGGAACGCGCCUGACGGUGAGGGACGAAAGCCAGGGGAGCGAACCGGAUUAGAUACCCGGGUAGUCCUGGCCGUAAACGAUGCAUACUAGGUGAUGGUACGGCCAUGAGCCGUAUCAGUGCCGUAGGGAAACCGUUAAGUGUGCCGCCUGGGAAGUACGGUCGCAAGGCUAAAACUUAAAGGAAUUGGCGGGGGAGCACCACAAGGGGUGAAGCCUGCGGUUCAAUUGGACACAACGCCGGGAAACUUACCAGGGGAGACAGUAGAAUGAGGGUCAGGUUGACGACCUUACCUGAUGAGCUGAGAGGAGGUGCAUGGCCGUCGCCAGUUCGUGCUGUGAGGUAUCCUGUUAAGUCAGGCAACGAACGAGAUCCGCACCUUUAUUUGCCAACAAGAAGUUACGACUUCGUUGGGAACACUAAAGGGACCGCCGUCGAUAAGGCGGAGGAAGGAGCGGGCAAAGGCAGGUCAGUAUGCCCCGAAACCCCUGGGCUACACGCGGGCUGCAAUGGUAUGAACAAUGGGCUGUAACUCCGAAAGGAGAAACCAAUCCCGAAAUCAUAUCACAGUGGGGAUUGUUGGCUGUAACCCGCCGACAUGAACGUGGAAUCCCUAGUAAUCGUGUGUCAUCAUCGCACGGUGAAUACGUCUCUGCUCCUUGCACACACCGCCCGUCGCUCCAUCCGAGUGUACUAAAAAUGAGGUUUGGUCAGACUGGUCAUAUCGAGUUUCUAGUAUGCGAGGAGGGAGAAGUCGUAACAAGGUA